CCGGAAAAGAGGAGUGGCGAACGGGUGAGUAACACGUGGGUAACCUGCCCAUCANAAGGGGAUAACACUUGGAAACAGGUGCUAAUACCGUAUAAGCAAUCAAAACCGCAGGGUUUUGAUUUGAAAGGCGCUUUCGGGUGUCGCUGAUGGAUGGACCCGCGGUGCAUUAGCUAGUUGGUGAGGUAACGGCUCACCAAGGCCACGAUGCAUAGCCGACCUGAGAGGGUGAUCGGCCACAUUGGGACUGAGACACGGNCCAAACUCCUACGGGAGGCAGCAGUAGGGAAUCUUCGGCAAUGGACGAAAGUCUGACCGAGCAACGCCGCGUGAGUGAAGAAGGUUUUCGGAUCGUAAAACUCUGUUGUUAGAGAAGAACAAGGAUGAGAGUAACUGUUCAUCCCUUGACGGUAUCUAACCAGAAAGCCACGGCUAACUACGUGCCAGCAGCCGCGGUAAUACGUAGGUGGCAAGCGUUGUCCGGAUUUAUUGGGCGUAAAGCGAGCGCA
RNAcentral lists this ribosomal RNA (506 nucleotides) under uncultured bacterium. Its description in RNAcentral is "bacterial SSU rRNA". It matches the Rfam family "Bacterial small subunit ribosomal RNA", at positions 82 to 573 of the family's 1533-position model. The record is from RNAcentral.